GAUGAACGCUAGCGGCAGGCCUAACACAUGCAAGUCGAGGGGUAGAACACUUCGGUGUUUGAGACCGGCGCACGGGUGCGUAACGCGUAUGCAAUCUACCUUAUACAGGGGAAUAGCCCAGAGAAAUCUGGAUUAAUGCCCCAUAGCAUUACGACUUGGCAUCAAGAUGUAAUUAAAGUUCCAACGGUAUAAGAUGAGCAUGCGUCCCAUUAGUUAGUUGGCAAGGUAACGGCUUACCAAGACGAUGAUGGGUAGGGGUCCUGAGAGGGAGAUCCCCCACACUGGUACUGAGACACGGACCAGACUCCUACGGGAGGCAGCAGUGAGGAAUAUUGGUCAAUGGUCGCAAGACUGAACCAGCCAUGCCGCGUGCAGGAAGACGGUCCUAUGGAUUGUAAACUGCUUUUAUACAGGAAGAAACCCUCCCACGUGUGGGAGCUUGACGGUACUGUAGGAAUAAGGAUCGGCUAACUCCGUGCCAGCAGCCGCCGUAA
This 494-nucleotide ribosomal RNA is filed under the name uncultured bacterium. RNAcentral describes it as "partial 16S ribosomal RNA". It matches the Rfam family "Bacterial small subunit ribosomal RNA", at positions 28 to 523 of the family's 1533-position model. The record is from RNAcentral.